GCUGGUUUGCCCGAGAGGUCAAGGGGGGAAGACUUAAAUCUUCUGCACAUGAGUGCGCAUGGGUUCGAACCCCAUAGCCAGCA
This is a non-coding RNA of Macleaya cordata, 83 nucleotides long. The record is from Rfam. NCBI's taxonomy places the organism in Eukaryota, Viridiplantae, Streptophyta, Magnoliopsida, Ranunculales, Papaveraceae.